GCCAGGGAAAGUGAGUGUGAGCCGACCCCUCUGUUCCGUGGCCUCUCUGCACUCCACCAGGGGGCGGCAGCGGCCAGUUCCCACAGGACUGCAGGGUCUGCGCCGGCAGGGGGGCCGGCGCACACGGCUAUCCUCACCAAGACGACUUCCCCCGGGAUCGGCACGGGUAGCCGGUCUCGGAAUCUCACGUUCAAUUCCUUGACCGGCACGAGCAGCGCCAGGCUGAGCGCGGAGAUGGUCAUUUCGGCCGGACUGCUCCGGGGCAGCGCAGUCAGCACGGCGGCCAGCGUCUGAGGGCAGGGGCGAUGAGCAGAGGGCCCCGUGCCAGGGUUCGUGCGCCCCGGCGCGGGCCCCCCAGAGCGAGGCCUUCUCUCCCCAGUGCCACCAGGGCUUACACCUCCUCAGCGCCCUCGUUCGGCCACGUGGCUCCAACCCCCUUUCCUGCGCCCUUGUCACAUACUACCCCUCCACCCUCCGUCCUUCCUCCCUUUUCGAGUUUCCCUAUUCCCGGGACCUCUAGAAGCCCCUUCUCCUUUCUUCUCCCACCCCCACCUUGAAGAGAGAGAAGCAGCCGAUCUGGCGCGGGAGGGACAACCCCAAGAGGCUCGGCAGCUGGGAUACGAGCACGUGCAGCGCGGCCCCGCUGGUCAGCGCCUUGACCACAGGCUCGGACAAAAAGGUGGACAAGACGCCGAGCUGCAGCACGAACAUCCCCAGCUGCGGGGGAGAAGACGCGCUGUCACCAUCUAGAGGAGGAGCAAACCAACCCCGCGCACCUCCGCCCUCCCGAACCCAAGCCGAAAGCUGGUCCCUCCCUCUUCCCCGGCCCAGUUUCCCCGGCCUCUCAGCAGGGAUCCCCCGGGAUCCUCCCCGGGUCCUCCCUCACCAUCAACGCCCCGCUCCCGAAGGCCACGGCCGCGGCUACCCCAACCCGCUGAGCGUCCAGCUGCUCCUUCUCGAUUCCGCUCAGGUUCCCCACGAGGGGUUCCGACACCAGCCGCUCGACGGCAGAGCCUGUCAUGAGGCUGAGUAUGGCGAAAGUUCCUGCCUCCGGGGGACAAAUGCAGACAUCACCAGCUGUGCAGCCCUGGGCAGGGAAACAGCUCAGGGUCCACGCCCUGGGUCCGAGAUCCUGCUGCCAGACUCCGCUCUCCCAAGAAGGCUGCUGCCCCGUCAAGACUGUGGGGCGCGAAGAGCUACGCUAGCCGGCAAAAACUGCUCCCUCCUGCAGAUUCUCUGCCUACUGCGUGCCCCUUUGGGGGACCAUGCACCUAUUCUUCCACUUCCAAGUCCCUGAGAUGUUCAUUUUAACCAAAUUUCAUAGGGGAAAAAAGUUCAGGGAAGAAGAGUCAUUGGAAGUCCCUGGUCACUCACCUGUGGACAGGUGUCUCCCAGUACCUAGCAAGCUAUAGAUGAGGACGGGGAAGAAAGAAGUGUAGAGUCCAAACACCGGGGGCACGGAGGCCAGGAGAGCAAAAGUCAUGCCUGGGAUAAAAGUGGAUGGAAAGGUGUGCUGUGGGGAGGGGGCCUUGUCCAACCUCCAGGACUUAAAUGCACUUCCCAGACUCUUAGGGACUGGCAUCAAGGAUGCUAAAUCAUGCCUCAUGAGGGAACUGAGGGGUUAAUGGGCCUCAGUGGGCGGUCAUGGGGCAGACAAGGUCAGGGACGCUGUGGCCAAGUCCUGGGGGCCAGGUGUUGUGCCUCUCUCCAGUUCUCUGAGCCAGAACCUGUCUAAGGCUUCUCGCAGGAUUGCGCAGAUGAGGGGAGGUGGGGGUGGGGAUCUGAUGGAGCUCCACAGUCCUUACCUCAAACUUGGCCUCAGAUCCCUCUCUCUCACCCUCAAUGGCAUGAACCCACCAUCUGCUCCCGGAUUCCCAGCUCCCUACGCCUCCUCCCGGAAGCCCUCUAGAGCUUGUGCUCCCGACAGGCCGCUGUUAGGGCCUCUCACCCUGGGGCACGUGCACGAUGCCCACGGUCACUCCGGCCACCGCAUCUCCGAGCAGCCAGGCCCGCCAGCGGUAAUAGGGCAGCCAGUGCAGCGCGGGCAGCCGAGCCAGCAGCAGGCGCCACGCCCCCGUCCCGGAACAAGCGCGAGCCCGCAGCCUCCACAGCCCGAAGAGCCAGGGAAAGCGGCGCUCUGCAGGUAGCUCCGGUUCCUGCUCUUCGCGCCCGAAGAGCUGAUGGAACCGAGCCUCGGCCAGGCGAAAUGGCUCACGCCUGUAAUCCCAGCACUUUGAGGCCGAGGCAGGUGGAUCACCUGAGGUCAGGAGUUUGAGACCAGCCUGACCAACAUGGAGGUGGAGGUUGCAGUGAGCCGAGAUGGAGCCACUGCAUUCAAGCCUGGGCGACAGAGCCAGACUACAUCUCAAAAAGAACAAAAAACAAACAAACAAACAAAAACAAAUGCUGUUCACAAAGUAGGCAUUCAAAAGCACAUAUUGGUCAAACUAAGUGCAAAGGAGUCAGCCACCCCCCUCAUGUGUCCCUAUGGUUCCUAAAUAAAUAUAAAGGUUCUAAGUCCA
Molecule: long non-coding RNA, 2522 nt
Organism: Pongo pygmaeus (Bornean orangutan)
Lineage: Eukaryota; Metazoa; Chordata; Mammalia; Primates; Hominidae
Exons: 4
Source: RefSeq, a predicted model, not a curated record